Molecule: long non-coding RNA, 1047 nt
Organism: Cyprinus carpio (common carp)
Lineage: Eukaryota; Metazoa; Chordata; Actinopteri; Cypriniformes; Cyprinidae
Source: Ensembl
AUGCUCCCGCAGGAGCCUUUCCAUAUUUACCCACUGCCGCAGCAGUGUCAGCUCCCGCAGGAGCCUUUCUGUAUUUCCUCACUGCUGCAGCAGUGUCUGCUCCCACAGGAGCCUUUUUUCCGUAUUUCCUCACUGCCGCAGCAGUAUCCACUCCCGCAGGAGCCUUUCCUGUCUUUCCCUACUGCCGCAGCAGUGCCCGCUCCCCACAGGAGCCUUUCCAUAUUUCCCCAUUGCCACAGCAGUGCCCGCUCCCGCAGGAGCUCUUCCAUAUUUCCCCACUGCCGCAGCAGUGCCCGCUCACCACAGGAGCCUUUCCAUAUUUCCCCAUUGCCACAGCAGUGCCCGCUCCCGCAGGAGCCUUUCCAUAUUUCGCCACUGCCACAGCAGUGUAUGCUCCCGCAGGAGCCUUUCUGUAUUUUCUCCCUGCCGCAGCAGUGUCUGCUCCCGCAGGAGCCUUUCCGUAUUUCCCCACUGCCGCAGCUGUGUCAGCUCCCGCAGGAGCCUUUCUGUAUUUUCUCACUGCCGCAGCAGUGUCUGCUCCCGCAGGAGCCUUUAUUUUGUAUUUCCUCACUGCCGCAGCAGUAUCAGCCCCCGCAGGAGCCUUUCCUGUCUUUCCCUACUGCUGUAGCAGUGCCCGCUCCCGCAGGAGCUCUUCCAUAUUUCCCCACUGCCACAGCAGUUCCCACUCCCGCAGGAGCCUUGCCUAAAUUCCCUCACUGCCACAGCAGUUCCUGCUCCAGCAGGAGCCUUCAUUUUUAUUUGAAUCUGCAGCAGUGCUCGCUUCCGCAGAAGCCAUUUUUUCUUUUCAGAUGCCACAGCAGCGGCCGCUUCCACAGAAGCCAAUUUCUCUUUUCAGAUGCCGUAGCAAUUCCCACAGGAGUUUUCUUUUCAGAUGCUGCAGCAGUAUCUGCUCCCGCAGGAGCUCUUCCGUAUUUCCGCAGCAGUCCCCGCUCCCGCAGGAGCUAUUCCAUUAUUUUCCCAUUUUCCAUUAUUGCCAUAGCAAUGCUCGCUUCUGCAGAAGAUAUUUUCUCUUUUCAGAUGCCGUAG